GUAGUCUGCAACUCGACUACAUGAAGCUGGAAUCGCUAGUAAUCGCGAAUCAGAAUGUCGCGGUGAAUACGUUCCCGGGUCUUGUACACACCGCCCGUCACACCAUGGGAGUCAGUAACGCCCGAAGUCAGUGACCGAACCUGAGAGGGAAGGAGCUGCCGAAGGCGGGACGGAUAACUGGGGUGAAGUCGUAACAAGGUAAC
Molecule: ribosomal RNA, 203 nt
Filed under: uncultured bacterium
Lineage: Bacteria
Description: partial 16S ribosomal RNA
Rfam family: Bacterial small subunit ribosomal RNA
Source: RNAcentral